This is a long non-coding RNA of Gasterosteus aculeatus aculeatus (three-spined stickleback), 4467 nucleotides long. NCBI's taxonomy places the organism in Eukaryota, Metazoa, Chordata, Actinopteri, Perciformes, Gasterosteidae. The record is from Ensembl.
GGGAUUCCCUCCCCUCGCGCGCUGCACUCCGGAGUCCGGUUACUGGCCGUUGCAAGGAAAAGGCAACUAUUCAAAUUUGAGCUGUAAGAGCCCGUGCAACGCGCGCGCCUUUUUUUUUAUUACCACACGUGGCGCAGAGAAAAACACGCCGUGUAGGUUUUCUGUGCUGCAAUGUAUCGCAGAUCCGCAUCUGUGAGCGCAUUGAACGCCUCGCGCAGCAGGUGGGCACGCGCAUGUAUAGACUCCGCGAAGACGGCUCCCAUGAGCCUCUGCGCCCUGUCACCAAAGCAGCGCUCACGCCGAACGGACGCGUGUCUCCCACAGUGGGCAUUUGUGUUAAUUCCACGGCGCUGCAGCGUGGAGAGCGCCCGCUGUUGCCACUCGGCGGGAGGGAGACAAACGCGCGCCAACGGUGACUCGGACACGGCUCCCGAAGAAGGGCCCGGCGCCCAGAAUGUGACACGUUACACGAGAUGGAGUAACGUAUUAAUCGUAAUCCAAUACGCCGCGACCGCCUAAUUAAUCUGCAUCACCGCAGACGCGGCUCUCGCUGUUUUUGGUUUCUUUUUGCGGCGGGCGUCUUUGGCAGAAAGACUCGCUCGCAUAGAAAGUUUCAGGGGGAAAGUUUGGUCGAGGGAAAAUAAUCUAAAGGGGGAUUUUCUGAGGUGACCACCGCGGAGCGACUGGCUUUGUAUGCGAUUGCUCAUAACGCGAACACUUCAAUUACACUGCUACAGUUCUUCCAAUAUGUCACCCUUUCCGAAGUAAGGGGGUGUUUGUGUUAAUUUGUUGCAGGCGUUACCUUUUGACCUGUGCCAUGGUACACAACACGACCGCACGCGGACUUUCAGUAAACCUUUAUUUUCAACGAUAUUAAUGAAUAAUUAGCGUUCAUCCAUCCACAGGCGACCCAGGUUUUUGAGCGGGCGACGGUGUUGCUAAGCGACACAGUUUCCUGGUAAAUUGCUCGGGGCGACUCUAAUCCGCCAUAGUCCUAUAAUUAAUGCCGUAAUAUCAUUUGAGACGCACCCGUCGGCGUCGAUUUGGGGGAAGCAAAGGUAUGGCACUGUGACAGGUUCUGUUCCUUAUACCAGUCUAAUUUGGAUCCUUUAAGUACAUAAUGAGAUAUCAUCACGCGCAGCGCUAUGUGACGCCCAUCAGUCAGACGUCGUUGCUCCAAUCGGUCAUUAGUGUCACGGGGGGGUUGAGUGUAGAUGAGAGGCUUAUUAAAUAAAACUUCUAAAAAACGGGCAUUGCGGUGCCAUAAGGUCACGUGAACAGGUGCGCUCGUCGAUGCUUGUGCGCACCUGCUUCGGCUGAUUCGCAGGUGGUGCACUAUGGACUCGUCGGUGUGCCUCCGUCACACCUCAUAGACGUCGGUGCCGUAGAACCCGCCAUGGAGUCCACGCAGGUAUUACGUUCAACGGGCGAUGCGCACGUGGGGUUUUACCAAGCUGGCCGCUACAGGUGACGCAAGCAGGGCUGACGUGGCCCUAAUGCCGCCAUCAGUCCGUCUGCCAAAACCGGAUGGCAGAUUGUAAAUUAAGGGCAGUCAAAUGCUUUUGUCCGGGGGCGGUGAAACAAAUGGCAAUAUUGAAAUGAGGUUCUUGGCGACAUUAAAGCUAAAUGGGAGAGCCUAUAAAGAGGCUGUACGCGGAAGGGAACAUGCAUUGCAUUUCAGGCGAAACAUGAAACAACAACCUCUUCCUCGUCAAACUCCACUCCGAGUUUCUGCUGCCUCAAAUUCUUGUAAUAUUUUAUAUAUAUCUUUUAAUGGCCAUAAAUACAUUUAGUGCAUAAGUUGGUGUUGAACUUUAAAUGUAUUUAAAGAGAAAACUAGUUCAUAUGUGGAUGUUUUUGUGCCAUAUUGACAUGGAAAGUGGAGUUUACAGCUCCAACAUCUGUUCUGGAUGCUCUUCCUGCGUCUAGCAUUUUAAAUGGGGGAGACAUAAUUCCAUGCAAGGAAGAACUAUGAGCUAUUUAAGUGUGGAUUUCUCCGGUUAGCUGUAUGCUGCUCGUAUGACAGUAUGGCUGGGGGGGGGGGGGGAUCAUGGCAGAAGCCUUCACCAAAUGCACACGUACCGCUGCCACAGCUGCUUGAGCAGGAGAUCCUGGCUUUUUGGGUGCACAUAAUGACGUUUGCAUCGCUUCAGUUGCAGCCUGAUCUCCAAAACCUGUCCGUAAAAAUGUGUACGAAAAUCUUCAACAUACAAAUUUGUAGUGAUACAUACGAAAUAAAUACGGAGUGCAACUGAUGACGUCACCCUAAUCAAAGUGAAUGGGGACCUGCACCCCGUAAACACACUUUGUGAAGUCUAAUGAUGUAAAAUAAACGUGUUAUGAUUGCAUUUUUAACGAGAAAUCAAUGUUAAAUUGUAAGAAUACACUACUAACCCUAACCCCCUCAAAAAACCCAACGUGACGUUCACUCAAGAAUCCAACAUGGUCCGCCAUGUUGUUCACUCAAGGGCGUGGUUAACCACCGCCAGUUCGUAUGUAUUGUUACGAAUUUGUAUGUUCAAGAUUUUCGUAUACAUUUUUACGAACAGGUUUUGUAGAUCACGUUGUCAGUUGACAACAUUUAGCGUUAACAUGGAUCGGACAUCCACAUGAAAGGUGCUGAAUUUAACCCGUGAAGUACAAGUCGGAGGCACUGUACAGCCACUACUUCACUACUUUUCAAAGGUUUUCCAAUCAACUGCAUAUAAAGUAUUCACAACCACCACAUGAGCAUGCCCAGUAUCCCGUGAAGGUACAAAGGCUAAGUUCUUGUAGAAUACACAAAAAACAUUGAGUUACUCAUUCAACGGCUUGUCAAAAACGUUUUUUUGCUCCUGUCUCUCUCUGUGUGCCUCCCUUUAGCGUCAUUCACCUGUCAUGUUGUAAUACCUCAACCUGGAUAAAAGCUCUGCAUGAUCGUCAUGGCUAAUCUCACAGCUCAGGUGCUGCUAACAGGACACACGCAGGCACCAAAGUGCUGACUGUGGGAGCACGGAGGGAGUUAAUGAACAAUCAGCGUGACGGACAGUGGGAUUUAUUACCCUGCUAUAGUGCUUCAGGAACACACUUAAUAUGCAGUUUAGCCGCAAUGCUUUCCUGCUACAUGAUGCUGCAAGUUGGGUCAACUUGCAGCAUCCCCCCACACAAACUGUCGACAAUGGAUUAACAACCAUUGAAACCAUCCCGCUGUGCUCUGACAAUGUGGUGGCAACCACGAGCUCCUUGGUCAUAGUGUCUAACUAAUGUCUAUCUAAUCAGCAGUUUCAACAGGAUUCCCACUGUGCUAGAACAUGUCUUUAAAAAACAAAACAGAGGCUGGAUGUCAGACAGCUCCCGUGAAUUAAAGCAACCAGCCCUCGAUGAUUUCAUUUACCGGUUGCCUUGGUGACUCAUGUAAAGCAGUGGAAUACAACAGCACAGUGGGAUAAUUUGAUCGCUCUUAACCUCUGGAGUGGCGUUGCAGAGGGAAGAAUGGGAAUUCAUUUGCUACGUAUCCUCCAAUAAGGUCGGUCACUUUCAGAUGCGUACAAGCAAUUCACUAACGGUUUACAAGCCGUCACUUCUAUAUAUGAGAAUAACUUGAUGAAAGGUACGACUCUUCCUGGGAACACGGCUGUUCAACGUCCUUGUCAUUGGCUCUGGAGGGAGAUUCUAAGGUCAAAAGCGUAAAAUAAGUAGACGCUUGCCUUGCAGGGAUCAUCAUUCCAACACGCUGCAUCAUGGGAAUUGUAAUGUCCAAUGUUUUUGCCCCUACAAAAGCCUAAAAGUUAGGUUAAGUUAGGUUAUUUUAGCUUCCCUGUAUAUUAGUGCAUUAGAGUACUGUGCCCUUCAAAAGAAACGCAACAUGACUAUUAAGUUUAAAAAUAUAAUUUUCUACGCUCAAAAAAAAAACAGUAAGCCAAUCUGAAUUUGAGCAAGAAAACCCUUUAAGUGUUCGCUUUACCUCCAACUAAAAGGACAGCAGCGCCGGAAUGGCCGCGAGGUGGGAAUUAGGGGGUGGGAGCGUCUUAUUAAAUGCCAUCACGUAGCAACCAAAUGUUUUCAUGCUUGUUUGCGGCUGCAGCCGAGAAAUAGACCGAGUGACCUCAUCCCACUCAAACUCAAACUCAGCAAUAAGUUCUCAUGUCACUCACUGGCAAACCUGAGAAAUACAUUUUGUCACGGGAGAUUGCCGUGAAGCAAGGUGCUUUAUUCUGUAAUUUAGCACGUAGCUCUGUUUAAUCAAGUGAGUGGAGGCACACACCUGCGCUGAGCACACAGUACCUUCCAAUCAACACAGCACGACCCGCUCUGACUGUAACUUCACCAGCGUUAAGGUAUCGUUUCCUGAUACAAUGGAAGGAAGUGCGUCACACACCUCGAGACAAAGAAGAAUGGAACGCAGCUCGGGCGAAAAACAGCGGAGAGAGAAAAGGGGAAAUGUUGGAAGCGUGUAGUGGAAGAAGUGAACAAAUAACAUAUAACAUG